ACAUAACAUUGUACCUUUAUUUCAUGUCAGGACAGGUAUGCAUGGUGAUGCGGGUUAAUCUAGAUUGCCCUUGUUGUUGCAAGAAAAUGAGAAGAAUCAUUCUACGAAUGAAAGAAAUAGAGAUGCAUCUGAUUGAGAAGCAAGAGAAGAGAAUAAGCAUAAUGGGGCGGUUUGAUCCGGCAGAUAUAGCCAUAAGAAUCAGGAAAAAAAUGAACCGGAGAGUAGAGAUUUUGGACAUUCAAUUACCCCAACAGCCUGACGAGAUGCAUCA
This is a long non-coding RNA of Solanum verrucosum, 271 nucleotides long. RefSeq lists it as uncharacterized. The record is from RefSeq and is a predicted model, not a curated record. The transcript has 3 exons. Lineage: Eukaryota; Viridiplantae; Streptophyta; Magnoliopsida; Solanales; Solanaceae.